RNAcentral lists this transfer RNA (72 nucleotides) under Heliconius melpomene (postman butterfly). Its description in RNAcentral is "tRNA HMEL010450". It matches the Rfam family "tRNA". From Rfam's summary of the family: Transfer RNA (tRNA) molecules are approximately 80 nucleotides in length. Their secondary structure includes four short double-helical elements and three loops (D, anti-codon, and T loops). Further hydrogen bonds mediate the characteristic L-shaped molecular structure. tRNAs have two regions of fundamental functional importance: the anti-codon, which is responsible for specific mRNA codon recognition, and the 3' end, to which the tRNAs corresponding amino acid is attached (by aminoacyl-tRNA synthetases). tRNAs cope with the degeneracy of the genetic code in two manners: having more than one tRNA (with a specific anti-codon) for a particular amino acid; and 'wobble' base-pairing, i.e. permitting non-standard base-pairing at the 3rd anti-codon position. The record is from RNAcentral. Lineage: Eukaryota; Metazoa; Arthropoda; Insecta; Lepidoptera; Nymphalidae.
GAACGCAUGGCUUAGUGGUCAGAGCACCUGGACGGUAUACAGGAGGCGCGAGUUUGAGUACCGCUACGUUUA